AAAUCCGGUUCACUUUAACACUGAGGCGUGACGACGAGGCACUACGGUGCUGAAGCAACAAAUGCCCUGCUUCCAGGAAAAGCCUCUAAGCAUCAGGUAACAUCAAAUCGUACCCCAAACCGACACAGGUGGUCAGGUAGAGAAUACCAAGGCGCUUGAGAGAACUCGGGUGAAGGAACUAGGCAAAAUGGUGCCGUAACUUCGGGAGAAGGCACGCUGACACGUAGGUGAAGUGAUUUACUCAUGGAGCUGAAGUCAGUCGAAGAUACCAGCUGGCUGCAACUGUUUAUUAAAAACACAGCACUGUGCAAACACGAAAGUGGACGUAUACGGUGUGACGCCUGCCCGGUGCCGGAAGGUUAAUUGAUGGGGUCAGCGCAAGCGAAGCUCCUGAUCGAAGCCCCGGUAAACGGCGGCCGUAACUAUAACGGUCCUAAGGUAGCGAAAUUCCUUGUCGGGUAAGUUCCGACCUGCACGAAUGGCGUAAUGAUGGCCAGGCUGUCUCCACCCGAGACUCAGUGAAAUUGAACUCGCUGUGAAGAUGCAGUGUACCCGCGGCAAGACGGAAAGACCCCGUGAACCUUUACUAUAGCUUGACACUGAACAUUGAGCCUUGAUGUGUAGGAUAGGUGGGAGGCUUUGAAGUGUGGACGCCAGUCUGCAUGGAGCCGACCUUGAAAUACCACCCUUUAAUGUUUGAUGUUCUAACGUGGACCCGUUACCCGGGUUGCGGACAGUGUCUGGUGGGUAGUUUGACUGGGGCGGUCUCCUCCUAAAGAGUAACGGAGGAGCACGAAGGUUGGCUAAUCCUGGUCGGACAUCAGGAGGUUAGUGCAAUGGCAUAAGCCAGCUUGACUGCGAGCGUGACGGCGCGAGCAGGUGCGAAAGCAGGUCAUAGUGAUCCGGUGGUUCUGAAUGGAAGGGCCAUCGCUCAACGGAUAAAAGGUACUCCGGGGAUAACAGGCUGAUACCGCCCAAGAGUUCAUAUCGACGGCGGUGUUUGGCACCUCGAUGUCGGCUCAUCACAUCCUGGGGCUGAAGUAGGUCCCAAGGGUAUGGCUGUUCGCCAUUUAAAGUGGUACGCGAGCUGGGUUUAGAACGUCGUGAGACAGUUCGGUCCCUAUCUGCCGUGGGCGCUGGAGAACUGAGGGGGGCUGCUCCUAGUACGAGAGGACCGGAGUGGACGCAUCACUGGUGUUCGGGUUGUCAUGCCAAUGGCACUGCCCGGUAGCUAAAUGCGGAAGAGAUAAGUGCUGAAAGCAUCUAAGCACGAAACUUGCCCCGAGAUGAGUUCUCCCUGAGACUUAGAGUCUCCUGAAGGAACGUUGAAGACGACGACGU
This 1341-nucleotide ribosomal RNA is filed under the name Salmonella enterica subsp. enterica serovar Enteritidis. Its description in RNAcentral is "partial 23S ribosomal RNA". It matches the Rfam family "Bacterial large subunit ribosomal RNA", at positions 1538 to 2853 of the family's 2925-position model. Lineage: Bacteria; Pseudomonadati; Pseudomonadota; Gammaproteobacteria; Enterobacterales; Enterobacteriaceae. The record is from RNAcentral.